This is a long non-coding RNA of Polyodon spathula (Mississippi paddlefish), 434 nucleotides long. RefSeq lists it as uncharacterized. The record is from RefSeq and is a predicted model, not a curated record. The transcript is spliced from 3 exons. NCBI's taxonomy places the organism in Eukaryota, Metazoa, Chordata, Actinopteri, Acipenseriformes, Polyodontidae.
UAUAUUAUAUAUAUAGUGUGUGUAUAUUUUAAAAUAUAAAUAUCAGCAUGCCGAAGCUCAGCAAGGAGACCAAGCAGCGGCUGCAGCAAGUUUUCCAAUACGGACAGUUUGCCAUACGAUGGGGCCUCAUCCCUACUAUUCUGUACCUUGGUUUUAAGAGAGGUGCUGAUCCUGGGUUGCCAGAGCCUACUGUUUUAAGUUUGCUUUGGGGUUGAGACAGUUGGAGACCAAAGUAUCUGUUGUCUGCUUAAGGAAGAGACUUGAUGGAAAAUCUUAUUCAAUUCUGUCCAUUGGGAUCCUCUGCAAACUGACUGGCUUCACUGCAUCGCUUUUUUACAUGUAACCAUCAGAUUUUCUAAAGGAAGUUCUAUGCCUGUGAUUGUCUGUUGCAUUAAAUAAACCCUUUACGAAACCAGUAAACCCUUUACAAAACA